RNAcentral lists this ribosomal RNA (254 nucleotides) under uncultured bacterium. RNAcentral describes it as "partial 16S ribosomal RNA". It matches the Rfam family "Bacterial small subunit ribosomal RNA", at positions 524 to 776 of the family's 1533-position model. The record is from RNAcentral.
UACGUAGGGUGCGAGCGUUAAUCGGAAUUACUGGGCGUAAAGUGUGCGCAGGCGGCCGAGCAAGUCGAGUGUGAAAGCCCCGGGCUUAACUUGGGAAUUGCGCUCGAAACUACUUGGCUGGAGUGUGGCAGAGGAAGGUGGAAUUCCGAGGUGUAGCGGUGAAAUGCGCAGAUAUCAGGAGGAACACCAAUGGCGAAGGCAGCUCGCUGGGACGUGACUGACGCUGAGACGCGAAAGCGUGGGGAGCAAACAGG